RNAcentral lists this long non-coding RNA (1468 nucleotides) under Homo sapiens (human). RNAcentral describes it as "HSALNT0372730". Lineage: Eukaryota; Metazoa; Chordata; Mammalia; Primates; Hominidae. The record is from RNAcentral.
GCACCCCCAAACUCCUGCUCAGCCCGAGUCAAGCACCGAAAGCUUCACAGGUUUUUUUCCUGAGCCUUGAAGAGAAACCACAUAGCCAGAACCUUUUGAACUCCUAACCCCGCAGGGAUGUCCGCCUCCCAGAAGAGAGCCGGCUUCCCAGGCAGCUUAGGAAACUUAACCGAGAUCCCAGAAAGAAGGCGAGGUGUAGCUCCGGUCGAACGGAGCCCCGAGGCGACAUCCUCUUUACCUGCAAAGUUGCAAUCUUCGGGCUGAAGUGAUGGGAUCCGAGGACUGACGGCGCGGGUGCCGUGCGGGGUGAGAGCACGCCCGGCAAAUUCCAAUGGAAUUCCCUUAGUCGCUGCUGAGUUUUGGAGCAUUCCAAGGAAAACGAUCGAAGCUGGAGCCCACGCAGCUGGCACCGAACUGGGCGGAGUGAGGAUGCUCUGAAAGCGAAGCCAUGGGAGGCGGGGGAGGGGCGGCCCGGGAGGGGGAGGUAACCGCCAGGGGAGGAGAACCUCUCCCACCCCCGCCUGCACAGAUCCCUCUGGAUAAAGUUAAGAGUUCCCACGGCUGACAGCGGAUGAGCCCAGAGAAAGGCACCCCGCCCUCCGUCCCUGGUGGCUGCCGGGCUCGGGGUCCGCACAGACCGCGCUGGAAAGGGAUAGUCCGGGAAGAUGCGCGUCCCACGCACCACACUGCUUGGAGGUGGAGGAGACCCGCGCGCUGGCAGGAGCUGACGCUGCGUCCCCAGCUUGUCCCCCUCGAAUAGCCUCCACCUACCGGGGCCAACUGCUUGAGGUCAGCCAGUGGGCAGGGGAGCUCACCACCAGCCAGCCGUCAUCCAGCCAAGUCGGUGGCGAGAAUCCACCCUGUGGUUCUGGAUGCAAGCCAGACACACCUCCAGGCUUAGGGCGGUCUCUGCAGGCGUGUUGGACUUCAGUGCGCUCCGACACCCAGCUUUUGAAUGCCCUGCUCCCAGCCCGGUAAACAAGCACCCAUGAGGCCCGCCGCCCGACCGGAAAAAAGUAGUCCCCUGCAACUCUCAAAGCUUCUCCCACUCCCGCUUCUCUGGGCGACUGGCACCCCCUCUCCUGUCCUCAAGGUGUCAGACUUCCCUUGCAAGAGCUGGAGGAUGCGGCUUGCCACUAGUGUCAACAAUCAAAACAGUCGCAAUGAAUAAAUGAUGAGCCACAGCGUUCCAACCACCCUCAUCCAGCUUGGUCUUUCCAAAAGGCAUAGGAAAUCAGCAAGUUUCCACCAAAUAUACCAAAACCCUAAGACGCGAGCCAGCCCAAGGGUGCAAGGUUCUGCGGCUGCAGGUGCCUAUGAAACUGCAAUAAAUACAUAACAGAAGAGAACACCAAGGAGAGCACUAUAUAUGUCAACCAUCUGAGCAGGCUGUAUUCCCACGGAAAGAAGAAUUUGUAUUGAUCACUGAGCCUCCUUUUCAACAGUUUCAUGUGAUUAUUGAUUGCUG